AUGGUUUCUUCACACCUGGAAGGGCUCGGGACAAAGAAGAAUUCCUUCACAUGCAGGACAACAAGCUCCAAUUCAGCAGAUGAAGUUCUGAAGCUUCUCAAGAUAAAAACAGGGCCGGGGAUACACAGCUCAGUGGCACAAGCUCCUGCCUGGCAAACACAAGAUCCUGAGUUUGGUUUCCAGAACCAAAAAAAAAAAGACAGGAACUGUUACCUCAAGUUACACUGAGCAGUCUUGCAUAUUUAAGAUUUAAAAUGCAUAGAACUUUUAGACACAUUUAAUGGAAUCACCCUUCUGAUGUGAGAUAAAUGUGAUUCUUUU
RNAcentral lists this long non-coding RNA (321 nucleotides) under Chinchilla lanigera (long-tailed chinchilla). RNAcentral's name for it is "lncRNA (ENSCLAG00000028134.1)". Lineage: Eukaryota; Metazoa; Chordata; Mammalia; Rodentia; Chinchillidae. The record is from RNAcentral.